This 202-nucleotide long non-coding RNA is filed under the name Prunus persica (peach). RNAcentral's name for it is "long non-coding RNA (PPER_LNC005844)". Lineage: Eukaryota; Viridiplantae; Streptophyta; Magnoliopsida; Rosales; Rosaceae. The record is from RNAcentral.
UUCUAUUGGGUUUAAUGGGGGAAAGAGCUUUAAUGAUAUUUGCUAAAUCACUACUAUUUGUCUAUUUCUUUCAAUUUUCUUGCUUAGAAUGUAUUUGUCCAUCCCUUUGUCGAGGAAAAUUAUGAUUGCAACCAAUAAGCAAUAUAAUUCUUGACAUAUAUAUAUAUACUAUUUUUCAUAUGUAUUGUGAGUUCGAAUUUUU